GACACGCAAGGAAUAGCAAAUUAUUAAAACUGAAUUAAAUGAAACAACUUGUUGUACGUUACAAUCAAAAGAAUUCCAAAUCUGCAUUUACAAUAAAUUAUCGAUGUCAGAUGUUCAAUUAAUGUUAUCACAAAUGUAUUUUUAUUGCACUGCAAAACAUACAUUAGUACUUUCCAUCACUCAUCAGCAUAAAAGUUUAACUUUUUUCCCCUCUGCGUUUCCAAAGAAAAACAUUAUGAACCCAAACAGGUGUCAAAGAUGCAUAAUGGAACGCAUGCCAUAUUCUAAGUUUGGCGAGAGUGAUACAAUAUACUUGUAAAUAGCUUGCAAUAAACGUAUUAACUGUUUGUGUAAUACAGAAAA
This is a long non-coding RNA of Tribolium madens (black flour beetle), 363 nucleotides long. RefSeq lists it as uncharacterized. The record is from RefSeq and is a predicted model, not a curated record. Lineage: Eukaryota; Metazoa; Arthropoda; Insecta; Coleoptera; Tenebrionidae. The transcript is spliced from 3 exons.